GUCUAGGUGGCGGAGUGGCUAACUCAACUGCCUAAUGAGCAGGAGAUCCCGGGUUCGAGUCCCGGUCUGGCACA
Schistocerca americana (American grasshopper) is the source of this 74-nucleotide non-coding RNA. The record is from the annotation of a RefSeq genome assembly. Lineage: Eukaryota; Metazoa; Arthropoda; Insecta; Orthoptera; Acrididae.